UACGGAGGAUGCGAGCGUUAUCCGGAUUUAUUGGGUUUAAAAGGUGCGUAGGCGGGCUGUUAAGUCAGCGGUAAAAGCCCGGGGCUCAACCCCGGCGAGCCGUUGAAACUGGCUGUCUUGAGAUGUCGAGAGGUAUGCGGAAUGCGCAGUGUAGCGGUGAAAUGCUUAGAUAUUGCGCAGAACUCCGAUCGCGAAGGCAGCAUACCGGCGGCGAUCUGACGCUGAGGCACGAAAGCGUGGGUAUCGAACAGG
Molecule: ribosomal RNA, 252 nt
Filed under: uncultured bacterium
Lineage: Bacteria
Description: partial 16S ribosomal RNA
Rfam family: Bacterial small subunit ribosomal RNA
Source: RNAcentral